AUUGAACGCUGGCGGCAUGCUUUACACAUGCAAGUCGAACGGUAACAGGCCUUCGGGUGCUGACGAGUGGGGAACGGGUGAGUAAUGCAUCGGAACGUGCCCAGAGGUGGGGGAUAACGCAGCGAAAGCUGUGCUAAUACCGCAUGUGAUCUGAGGAUGAAAGCGGGGGACCAGGCAGCAAUGUUUGGCCUCGCGCCUUUGGAGCGGCCGAUGUCAGAUUAGGUAGUUGGUGGGGUAAAGGCCUACCAAGCCGACGAUCUGUAGCUGGUCUGAGAGGACGACCAGCCACACUGGGACUGAGACACGGCCCAGACUCCUACGGGAGGCAGCAGUGGGGAAUUUUGGACAAUGGGCGCAAGCCUGAUCCAGCAAUGCCGCGUGCGGGAAGAAGGCCUUCGGGUUGUAAACCGCUUUUGUACGGAACGAAAAGGCUCUGGCUAAUACCUGGGGCUGAUGACGGUACCGUAAGAAUAAGCACCGGCUAACUACGUG
This 492-nucleotide ribosomal RNA is filed under the name uncultured bacterium. RNAcentral's name for it is "partial 16S ribosomal RNA". It matches the Rfam family "Bacterial small subunit ribosomal RNA", at positions 30 to 507 of the family's 1533-position model. The record is from RNAcentral.